Long non-coding RNA from Brassica oleracea var. oleracea, 1348 nucleotides. RefSeq lists it as uncharacterized. Lineage: Eukaryota; Viridiplantae; Streptophyta; Magnoliopsida; Brassicales; Brassicaceae. The record is from RefSeq and is a predicted model, not a curated record. The transcript is spliced from 3 exons.
AUUGGUGGCAGACCCGCCUUGCAAGAAGGAACAAGAUGUUGUUCCACUAGAAGCAGUAUACACCGGGGGUGUGGACAAAGAGGGUACAAUGAUAUUUUUUGGGAGCGGGAGCAACACUUUCUACGUAACUGAAGAUGAGGUAUUGAAUAACAAAGCCUUAUGUGGGGAGGGAGUUGUAGCAAAUGCUCACCCACUGUCAUAUGUUAAGCAGGAUGAUGAUGUUGGUUCCUUAAGAGGAGAUGACGGGGAUGGUGGAGGGAUUGGCACUGAAGUGGUAAGUUGAUUGUUUUUAAGGUCAUCGUUGGAGUGUUUUUUCGUUCUAAUAAUGGGUGUUUUAUUGAGCAGGAUUUUGGUGAACUAAAUAAACUCGUGGGAGUUAUUACAAGGGAUGCUUUGAUUACUUCCCCCGUUCAGAAGGUGUGUGAGGACCAAACAUCGGGAAAGGAGCCUGAAUCUAAGGAGAAGUCAGCUGCAGAAGAAAAGGGAGAUGUGGGAGAAACGGAGGUUGAGAAGGUGACAAUUCAUCAGGAGAAGGAUGAAGCCGUAGAGGAAGAAGCUGUUAAGGAGGGGCGCUUUAAGGAGAAGGAGGAUGGUGUAAGUGAACUCAGGAAGAGGAUAUGUGUACAAUAUGGGGGAGUUGCACUUUUGUUGCGGUUGUUGAGUUUUUUUGGGCCAUGCAUUGCAGGGUGUUGAAGAUGUUGGUGGGAGCGAGGGAUUAGUAAAUGUCGCUGAUGAGGAGAAGGGAGAUGUUGUGGGGACAACAUGCGAGGUAAGCAUCAGUACGAUUGUGUUGUAAACUUUAUAGGCUAUACUAGUGCACAAAGUUUUUUAGGUUGCGUAAGGAACACAGUAAAAUAAUUGAAGGUGUGGUUAAGGUGUAGUAGUUGUACAUGUGGAUCAUGUCUAAUAUGCGUACAGGUGUACAUUGUUAGGUACAUUGUUAGGUAUGUGUUGUUGAGGUUAUAACUGAAAUGUGUUUCGGUGUUGCUAUGUUGAGGUGGCUGCGGCUGAUGGGGUUGAAGGUGGAAACGAGGAUGAAAGUGCUGAGGAUAAAAUGUUGGCAAGAGAGGAAACUAUGGUGGAGUUAAGUGAUUCUUCUCCAUGCCCUAGGAGUGAGAAGCAUAAGCCAGUUGAGAAGGAAGCCGACUUGGCGGCCCUUUUGUUGGCUAAGGAACGAUUUACGAUGGAUAAACUCGUUCCUGAGGUGGAGGAUCCUGAUUAUGCUUUCUUUGAAAGUGUUUUGGUUCUGAAUCCUAAAGUGUAAGUAACAUAUCCAUCUGAUUUGAAAGCGGGAUGAUGUUGCUAAUUUUUAGGUGUCUUCUUGCAGGCUCCAUCUUAAUGCAGGGGG